UCCUUUUUUGGAAUGACACUAGUCUUGGCCCACUCUAUAGAAGUAAGAUCUUGCUAGGCUUGUAUCAGCAGAUCUUAGAAAAUUGUGGGUUCAUAUGUGCUAACACAAUAGAAGCUUUGGGUAUUUAUUUCUGUAAGUGAUGAGGAAACAAAUAUCGAACUUGCAUUUUCUGCCUUGGUUGGCUCUUUUUGGUUCUUUACUCUUUUUUGUUUUUUUGUUUUUUUUUGAGACGGAGUCUUGCUCUUUUGCCCUGGCUGGAGUGCAGUGGCAGGAUCUCGUCUCACUGCAAGCUCCGCCUCCCGGGUUCACGCCAUUCUCCUGCCUCACCUCCCGAGUAGCUGGGACUACAGGCGCCCGCCACCGCGCCUGGCUAAUUUUUUGUUUAUGUUUUUUUUAGUAAAGACGGGUUUUCACCGUGUUAGCCAGGAUGGUCUCGAUCUCCUGACCUCGUGAUCCACCAGCCUCGGCCUCCCAAAGUGCUGGGAUUACAGGCCUGAGCCACCGCGCCCGGCCCGUUCUUUACUCUCUUGCUAGAGUACUAGCAAGCUGGGAAUGCCUUGGGUUGUCCCCCAGGAGACUGCAGUCUAUGCAAGGAGGCUUUUCUAAGGGAUAGCAGCGAGUAGCCAUAUCUCUGUCCUGUAGUGAGGAACUCAUCUCUUUGUUCUCCCACUCUUUAUCUUACUUGCCUUCCCUGUCCCUAUAAAUCAUUUCUAGUGUUCUCUCAGACCAUGCUUUCUUUUGGAUGUGGGUGGGAUCCAAUGUGUAAAAUAGGACUACAGCCUUCUAGAGCUGGCAGGAAAGUUAGGCAUGGUGUAGUUGAAAUGCUUCAUUUACAGAUAAAGGAGUGUAAGCCCAGAAAGUAAGGGAUGUGGUUUGAAUCACACAGCUUGUUUAACUACAGAGUUUGGACUAGAAUCCACAUUUCCCCAUGUUCAGUCCAGUGUUCUGUAUUCAACCCCACCUAUGCAAAGACACAAUUUUACAUGCUAUAUGCUCGUGGGAGAAACUUUUUCUUUAGAUAGAUGUUAGCAUUUUUUUUCUUUCUUCUUGACCUUCCUUGCACCUUUCUGACAAAAGUGAAAUGCACAGAAUUUUGCCUCUUUUCACCCAUGAGUUUCCAAAGCGUGUUCUGCUCGUGAGUAGGUCCUCUCCAAGCUAGACCUUGUCUCUUCCAGUGUUUGGUGUCUCCAGGCACCUUGUGGUUUGUGGCUUCAUAACUCCAAUCUCUGCCCUGUUUUGCUUAAGUGGCCUUCUUUCUGUUUCUGUCUCCUCCUCUGU
This 1278-nucleotide long non-coding RNA is filed under the name Homo sapiens (human). RNAcentral's name for it is "HSALNT0072716". The record is from RNAcentral. Lineage: Eukaryota; Metazoa; Chordata; Mammalia; Primates; Hominidae.